Molecule: small nuclear RNA, 355 nt
Filed under: Propithecus coquereli (Coquerel's sifaka)
Lineage: Eukaryota; Metazoa; Chordata; Mammalia; Primates; Indriidae
Description: 7SK RNA (ENSPCOG00000001127.1)
Rfam family: 7SK RNA
About the family: 7SK was discovered as an abundant small nuclear RNA in the mid-70s but a possible function has only recently been suggested. Two independent studies have found that 7SK RNA binds the CDK9/cyclin T complex (known as elongation factor P-TEFb). P-TEFb activates transcription by phosphorylating the C-terminal domain of RNA polymerase II.
Source: RNAcentral
AGAUGUGAGGGCUAUCUGGCUGCGACAUCUGUCAUCCACUGAUCGCUAGGGUUGAUUGGGCUGAUCUGCUGGCUGGCUAGGCAGGUGUCCCCUUGUUCCCUGACCGCUCCAUGUGUGUCCCUCCUGAAACUGUCCACUUGGUUGAAGAAGACGACCUCCCCCAGUAGAGGAGACUGUUCUUCGGUCAAGGGUAUACAAGUAGCUGCGCUCCCCUGCCAGAACCUCCAAAUGAGCUCUCAAGCGAGUAACCUACAGGAACUGUCGCUAACUGAACGUGUGUGUGCUGGUAAUGACGAGAGAGAGAAUACUGUAUUUUCAAUCUGUGUUUGCUGAAAAAAUCUGCAUAUAGUUCAAA